RNAcentral lists this ribosomal RNA (460 nucleotides) under uncultured bacterium. RNAcentral's name for it is "partial 16S ribosomal RNA". It matches the Rfam family "Bacterial small subunit ribosomal RNA", at positions 338 to 795 of the family's 1533-position model. The record is from RNAcentral.
CCUACGGGGGGCAGCAGUGAGGAAUAUUGGUCAAUGGCCGGAAGGCUGAACCAGCCAUGCCGCGUGAAGGUCAGUGCCCUAUGGGCGUUAAACUUCUUUUGUGCGGGAGCAAUAAUGGUCACGUGUGGCCAGACGAGAGUACCGUACGAAUAAGCAUCGGCUCACUCCGUGCCAGCAGCCGCGGUAAUACGGGGGAUGCAAGCGUUAUCCGGAGUUAUUGGGUUUAAAGGGUGCGUAGGCUGUGAGGUAAGUCAGCGGUGAAAUGCCCCCGCUCAACGGGGUGAAGUGCCAUUGAUACUGCCUGGCUGGAAUGCGGAUGCCGUGGGAGGAAUGUGUGGUGUAGCGGUGAAAUGCAUGGAUAUCACACAGAACACCGAUUGCGAAGGCAUCUCACGAAUCCGCGAUUGACGCUGAUGCACGAAAGCGUGGGUAUCAAACAGGAUUAGAUACCCUAGUAGUC